Molecule: long non-coding RNA, 991 nt
Organism: Oreochromis niloticus (Nile tilapia)
Lineage: Eukaryota; Metazoa; Chordata; Actinopteri; Cichliformes; Cichlidae
Exons: 2
Source: RefSeq, a predicted model, not a curated record
UAUUAAAAAAUAAUUUAUAUUUCACCAAAGAUCCAUCCUGCAGUGUUAUUUUGGAUUGUCAGUAUUGGUUAUGUAUAUGUGUUUAUUUAUAUAUAUGUUUAUUUUCUGUAUUUAUAUUUUGGGAGCGUUUAUUUUGUUUGUGUGACCUUUGACUUCCCACGAAGUCACUUCCUGUAGCUGCGCGCUAUUUUCCUCAGUCGCCUAGAGGCCCUGCUGAGGAGAGGUGAGCGUACGCUAGUGUUCUCAGCAACAGAGCGAAUAAACACAGUUAAAGUAACUAAAAGUAAUUCAAACACUGCUCGUUCCCUUUGUGCAUUUUGUCUCACAGUUCUGUUAGAUGUUUCAGUGUGAAUUAUUGUUUCUCUGUCGAGUACAGCACUUUAUUGUAACAUGCUAGUUAGCCAUUCUCAGAUGAGAGCAUAGGAGCAUGCAGGUGGCUUCUCAUGUGGUUCGCUAUCCUUCUCUCUCCCUUGAAGGUGUUCAUGCAGAAGUCCAGUAAAGUGAAGUUGCUGUACUGUUUUAUUUUUAUUUUAAACAGUUCUCGGAGAAUAAAUCCACCCAGCUGGCAAAGUGAGAGCUGACUCCUCUGGUCAUUCGCACAACACAACGCAGAGAACUAGCGGCACUCAGAGUUUAAGGCCAGACUGGCUACACAUGCACAGAUUCAUUCUCAACUGGACAUAAAUGAUGAUCAAAGGGCUGUUUGAUGACGAUUUGGACUCCUCUGGGAGAUGAGGACACACCCACAUCUGUUCCAUACUGUAGCCAUGAAUAGUGUUACAGCUGUGAGUCAGCUUUGGGCCAUCAGAUGCACACACUGGAAAACCAGCACCUGGACUUCAUGCAGGAGAGACAGCCUAAUCCAGCAACUAAUCCAGAAGUUAAUCCCUGAGCAAACAGGAAAGGGAAAUGGUGUUACGAUGUACAAGGUGGACUCAAGCGCUGGACUCGAGGGAUGAUGCAAGAAAAUUUAUUAAAGAACAAUGUCCAA